GACGAACGCUGGCGGCGUGCCUAAUACAUGCAAGUCGUGCGGACCUUUUAAAAGCUUGCUUUUAAAAGGUUAGCGGCGGACGGGUGAGUAACACGUGGGCAACCUGCCUGUAAGACUGGGAUAACGCCGGGAAACCGGGGCUAAUACCAGAUCGUUUUUUCCUCCGCAUGGAGGAAAAAGGAAAGGCGGCUUCGGCUGCCACUUACAGAUGGGCCCGCGGCGCAUUAGCUAGUUGGCGGGGUAACGGCCCACCAAGGCAACGAUGCGUAGCCGACCUGAGAGGGUGAUCGGCCACAUUGGGACUGAGACACGGCCCAAACUCCUACGGGAGGCAGCAGUAGGGAAUCUUCCGCAAUGGACGAAAGUCUGACGGAGCAACGCCGCGUGAGGGAAGAAGGCCUUCGGGUCGUAAAACUCUGUUGCCGGGGAAGAACAAGUGCCGUUCGAACAGGGCGGCGCCUUGACGGUACCCGGCCAGAAAGCCACGGCUAACUACGUG
Molecule: ribosomal RNA, 499 nt
Filed under: uncultured bacterium
Lineage: Bacteria
Description: partial 16S ribosomal RNA
Rfam family: Bacterial small subunit ribosomal RNA
Source: RNAcentral